This 465-nucleotide ribosomal RNA is filed under the name Vreelandella stevensii. Its description in RNAcentral is "partial 16S ribosomal RNA". It matches the Rfam family "Bacterial small subunit ribosomal RNA", at positions 338 to 795 of the family's 1533-position model. The record is from RNAcentral. Lineage: Bacteria; Pseudomonadati; Pseudomonadota; Gammaproteobacteria; Oceanospirillales; Halomonadaceae.
CCUACGGGAGGCUGCAGUGGGGAAUAUUGGACAAUGGGCGAAAGCCUGAUCCAGCCAUGCCGCGUGUGUGAAGAAGGCCUUCGGGUUGUAAAGCACUUUCAGUGGGGAAGAAAGCCUUGGGGCUAAUACCCUCGAGGAAGGACAUCACCCACAGAAGAAGCACCGGCUAACUCCGUGCCAGCAGCCGCGGUAAUACGGAGGGUGCGAGCGUUAAUCGGAAUUACUGGGCGUAAAGCGCGCGUAGGCGGUCUGUUAAGCCGGUUGUGAAAGCCCCGGGCUCAACCUGGGAACGGCAUCCGGAACUGUCAGGCUAGAGUGCAGGAGAGGAAGGUAGAAUUCCCGGUGUAGCGGUGAAAUGCGUAGAGAUCGGGAGGAAUACCAGUGGCGAAGGCGGCCUUCUGGACUGACACUGACGCUGAGGUGCGAAAGCGUGGGUAGCAAACAGGAUUAGAUACCCCAGUAGUC